RNAcentral lists this ribosomal RNA (253 nucleotides) under uncultured bacterium. RNAcentral's name for it is "partial 16S ribosomal RNA". It matches the Rfam family "Bacterial small subunit ribosomal RNA", at positions 524 to 776 of the family's 1533-position model. The record is from RNAcentral.
UACGGAGGGGGCUAGCGUUGCUCGGAAUCACUGGGCGUAAAGCGCACGUAGGCGGUUCUUUAAGUCAGGGGUGAAAUCCUGGAGCUCAACUCCAGAACUGCCUUUGAUACUGAGGAUCUUGAGUCCGGGAGAGGUGAGUGGAACUGCGAGUGUAGAGGUGAAAUUCGUAGAUAUUCGCAAGAACACCAGUGGCGAAGGCGGCUCACUGGCCCGGUACUGACGCUGAGGUGCGAAAGCGUGGGGAGCAAACAGG